UACGUAGGGGGCAAGCGUUGUCCGGAUUUAUUGGGCGUAAAGAGCGUGUAGGCGGUUUGGUAGGUCCGCUGUGAAACUCGAGCUCAACCUCGAGACGCCGGUGGAAACCAUCAGACUAGAGUCCGGAAGAGGAGAGUGGAAUUCCUGGUGUAGCGGUGAAAUGCGCAGAUAUCAGGAAGAACACCCGUGGCUAAGGCGGCUCUCUAGUACGGUACUGACGCUGAGACGCGAAAGCGUGGGGAGCGAACAGG
This 251-nucleotide ribosomal RNA is filed under the name uncultured bacterium. Its description in RNAcentral is "partial 16S ribosomal RNA". It matches the Rfam family "Bacterial small subunit ribosomal RNA", at positions 524 to 776 of the family's 1533-position model. The record is from RNAcentral.